Molecule: long non-coding RNA, 3102 nt
Organism: Syngnathus typhle (broad-nosed pipefish)
Lineage: Eukaryota; Metazoa; Chordata; Actinopteri; Syngnathiformes; Syngnathidae
Exons: 2
Source: RefSeq, a predicted model, not a curated record
AUUCAUUUCUCCAGUCAGCUGGGCGGAGGAGAAACCGUGAAGCCGCUGACUCAGCUCGGCGCCCACAGUCCUCCAAUUAAUUGAAGGCGCGUCGCGAGUGAAACUUAAACUUAACACGCUUUUCUUGUGGAAAUCCUGAUGCGGCCCAGCCUCACCCAGACUCUGCCUCCACUGGCCCCGAGGUAAAUUGAAUUUGAGACCCCUGUUUUAGAUGUUUCGCUCAGUUGGAUGUGUUUCCCUUCUUGUCUAGAAAGGCUGACGGCAUCUUUCGCAUACAGAUAUUUGAAAAUUAACGAUUAAUCGCCGUUCAUCAACCCCAAAUGCAAAGUACCCUAAAUGCACAAUACCUUACUGUUUGGUGUUUUUAUUUUCAACAAAUGGAGGUGCUGCUAUUGAUGCAGUUGUAGAUGACGCCAAUGCGCGUGCCACUGCCAUGUUGCAUGCUGUGAGAGCACAUGUAGCAGGGAACCACGUCAUCAGACGCUGUGUGGGUUGCUAGAUAACCGCUCAUUUACACCCCCCUGAACAAAACAAAAAAGGCAGCCUCAUCUCCCGCCUUCCUUUGUUACCAAUGUUACUUCGGGCAUUGCCGAAAAGGCAGUACCGUCAUUUUUUAGAAAAUUGCCUUCGACUUGGUACCAAAGUAUCGGUUCUCAUUACAACCUAGUGGCGAGAAGGAAAAAAUUGUUGACGUGACCACAGAAAAUCUUAUAAAUUAACAAUGGUAAAUAUGAAACUUUUUUAAAUUUAUGUAAGUGAAGGGUUGCCAUAUUGGCCAGGGCCAGCCUUGCAAAAUAACCACAAUGUUCUCUACGCCAAAUGUUUAGUGUUUCUUUUACACGUUUGUGAUAGACUGAUAUAUUAAUUUUUCAAGGCCGAUACUGAUUAGUAACUGGGCCCAAUAACUGAUGUUUGGAGCCAAUAUUUUUUUGCGGUACAGGGAACAUUUUGCCAUUAACAUUUUUAAUUAUUCAAACGACUUAAUUUCCUGUAAAAGCACAUGUAAAUGUUUGUUUAAUACAAUACAAUUCAAUCCGUAGAGAAGAUACCAACUUUUAAUUGUAACACAAAGCACUGGGAGCUGCAAAGCUCAGCAGCAUGUCUUAUAAAGUUAAAUGAAACUGUAACAAAUGAAUAACUCCCUAAAAUGUUCCAGUCCAACUUAAGUUUUAAAACAUUCAAUACAAGUUAAAUUUUAAUCUCUCAAUUACAACUAUUAUCUUUGAAUGAAGUACACAAACAAUUUAUCCCCAAAGCAGCUACUGGCCAACAGGUCACCAGUGUGAUGUGCAUUUAGACAUCUUAACAUCUCAAGUAACCUAUUCAUGAUUAUUUAUCAGACUUCAGAUUAAUAUUAAAAAUAAAAGUCGAUGCAAACAUGAACCUAAAUGUGGCGUAUUCGCCCCGAUAGGCUGAUUAUCUAUGACUAACAUUGCAGCAUUUGCAUUGGGGCUAUGUGGAGUUUCCAUGUUUUCCCUGAGUCUGUGUUGGUUAUCUCUGGGUUCUGCGGUUUUCUCCCACAUUCUAAAAAUAUGCAUGGCAGUGUGCUGGCAUCCAUUUCGCAUUCCAUUUCUCAUCUAAAGGUCAGCUAGGAUCGGCUCCAGCACACCUGGAACUUUAGUGAGGCUAAGUGGUACAGAGAAUAAGAUAAGCAUGACAAUAUUACAAUUUACAGGUACCAAACAUAUAUUCAUUUUUAGUUCACUUCGAGAUGAUAUAAAAUUGGAUUGUAGCUAUUUUCCUAGAAAAAUUAAAAGCCCGAUUCAAUAGAAGUUAAUGGAAUAAAUGGUUAAGAAUAAUAAAAAGGAAAUAUUCGAAUGUGUAUUAAAAACCUUUCCUGAAUGUAAAUUAGAUGCAUGCGUCUGGCAUCAAAACGUAGCGAUCCGGCUAUUUAAACGGUCAUGUGGUCAGUUUGUAUGAAUUGAUAUGGUCACUUUUUCAACAUCAUAUUUUGAUGGGUAGUAAUUAAUAACUUGAAUUUUCUUUUUAAUAUAGUGUAAACAAAAUUAUUUUGGUUAAACAGUAUGUAUAUUGUGCAUAUCCAUAAUUUAAUUUCAAAUAACACAAUGACUGCUAUAGAAUUUCAUUUCUCUUCUAAAAGUCAGCUAGGAUAGGCUCCAGCACACCUGGAACUUUAGUGAGGCUAAAUGGUACAGAGAAUGGAUAGAUGAGAUUAUGAGCAUGACAGUUUUCCAAUGUACAAGUACCAAACAUGUAUGCAUUUUAGUUCACUUUGAGAUGAUAGAUAAAUUGGAUUGUAGCUAUGAUUAUUAACGUAUGACAAAAUACAUUCAAAUAUAGAGAUUGUUCUAGAUAAAUUUAAAGCCCGCUUAAAUGGACGUUAAUGCAAUAAAUGGGUAAGAAUAAUAAAAAGGAAAUAUUGGAAUGUGUAUUAAAAAAACUUUCCUGAAUGUAAAUCAGAUGCGUGCAUCUGGCAUCAAAGGGUAGCGAUCCGGUUAUCUAAAUUGUCAUGUGGUCAGUUUAUAUGAAUUGAUAUGGUAACUUUUUCAACAACAUAUUUUGAUAUGUAGUAGUUAAUAUCCAAAUCUCUUUUUAACAUAGUAUAAACAAAAUAUUUUUGGUAAAAGCAGUGUGUAUAUUGUGCAUAUCCAUAAGUUAAUUUAUUGACUGCUAUAGAAUUUCAUUUCUCAUCGAAAAUUCAGCUAGGAUAGGCUCCAGCACACCUGGAACUUUAGUGAGGCUAAGUGGUACAGAGAAUGGAUAAAUGAGAUCAUGAGCAUUACAGUGUUACAAUGUACAAGUACCACUCCUGUGUGCAUUUUUAGUUGACUUUGAGAUGAUGAGAAAUUCGAUUGUAGCUAUGAUUAUUAACCUAUAACAAAAUACAUUUAAAUAUAAAGAUUGUUCUAGAUCAGCGGCUCUUAACCUGGGUUUGAUCAAACCCUAGUGGUUCGGCAAAGCCUCCACAGGUCCGAACACACCUGAUUUAUCGUGUAAAUAUGUGAUGACGCAUAUCUAAACUGGUCUCUCAAACGCAACAGCAGAAGUCACACUUAUUUGCAGGUAUGUAAUUUGUUUUCAGUUCAUGCAUUGUGUUGGUUUUGUACUUUGAACAAGGUGAUGUUCAUGCUUGGCUCAUUU